AUGGGUAAGAUUAAUGAUACAAUUGCAGAUGCUAAGAAGGCUGUGAAUGAGCUUAUCAAGGAAGCGCGUGACAAGAAGUUGGAACCUGAGCCAGGGCGCACAAUGAUGGAAUCAUUUGAAAAUAGAGUGAAUCAUGUUCUUAACAAGGCUCGUGAUGAUGCUGGUAGUAGUGCUCAGAAGAGUUUGUCUGAGAGCAACAAUUUGAAAGCUAUGGUUACUGCAGGCUCAAAAGGCAGUUUCAUUAAUAUUUCGCAGAUGACUGCUUGCGUCGGACAGCAGAAUGUUGAGGGCAAGAGGAUCCCAUUUGGAUUUGCUGGUCGUACAUUGCCCCACUUCUCGCAAAAUGACAACGGUCCCGAAAGCCGUGGAUUCGUGCAGAACUCUUACCUUCGAGGCCUGACACCAGAGGAAUUCUUCUUCCAUGCUAUGGGUGGUAGAGAAGGUUUGAUCGAUACUGCUGUAAAAACUUCUGAGACUGGAUAUAUUCAGCGGAGGCUCGUGAAGGCCAUGGAGGACAUCAUGGUGAAAUAUGAUGGUACCGUGAGGAACUCCCUGGGUGAUGUCAUUCAGUUCUUGUAUGGAGAAGAUGGCAUGGAUGCUGUUUUGAUUGAACCGCAGAAAUUGGACACCCUGGGGAUGAAAAAGGCCGAGUUUGACAACGUAUUUCGUUACAAACUGGAUGAUGAGAACUGGAGGCCCACUUACAUGUCGCCUGAACAAGCUGAUGAUUUGAAGACCAUUCGUGAUAUCAGAAUUGUGUUUGAGGCAGAGAUUCAGAAAUUAGAAGCUGACAGAUUACAGCUUGGGACUGAAAUUGCCGCGACUGGCGACAUUACAUGGCCUAUGCCUGUCAACCUCAAGCGGCUUAUCUGGAAUGCUCAAAAGACUUUCAAGAUUGAUUUGAGAAGACCUUCUGACAUGCACCCCAUGGAAAUUGUGGAAGCAAUGGAUAAGUUGCAAGAAAGACUCAAGGUUGUCCCAGGAGACGAUGCCAUGAGCAUCGAGGCUCAGAAGAAUGCUACUCUGCUCUUCAAUAUCCUGCUCCGUAGCACAUUUGCUAGUAAGAGGAUAUUGAAAGAAUACAAGCUCACAAGGGAAUCUUUCGAAUGGGUCAUCGGUGAGAUAGAAUCGAGAUUCCACCAGUCUUUGGUAGCUCCUGGUGAGAUGAUUGGAUGCGUAGCUGCACAGUCCAUUGGAGAACCAGCAACUCAGAUGACGCUGAAUACUUUCCAUUAUGCCGGUGUUAGCGCCAAGAAUGUCACCCUUGGUGUCCCCAGGUUAAGGGAGAUCAUUAACGUCGCCAAGAAGAUAAAGACCCCGUCGUUGUCUGUUUUCCUAAAGCCUGAGGUGAGCAAGAAGAAAGAAUUGGCCAAGAAUGUCCAGUGUGCCUUGGAGUACACUACGCUACGUAGCGUGACCCAUGCCACCGAGAUAUGGUAUGAUCCUGAUCCUCUAGGAACCACCAUUGAAGAGGAUGUGGAAUUUGUCAAGUCAUAUUAUGAAAUGCCUGAUGAGGAUAUUGACCCGGAUAAGCUGUCUCCUUGGCUGCUGCGUAUCGAACUGAACCGUGAGAUGGUGGUAGAUAAGAGGUUGAGCAUGGCUGAAAUUGCAGAGAAGAUCAGACAUGAAUUUGAUGAUGACUUGUCAUGCAUAUUCAAUGAUGAUAACGCGGAUAAGCUCAUUCUUCGUAUCCGCAUUAAAAAUGAUGAUGAAACUCCAAAACAGGAUGAGGAUGAUGAUGUCUUCCUCAAGAAGGUUGAGAGUAACAUGUUGACUGAGAUGGCCCUUGGAGGCAUUGCAGAUAUUAACAAGGUCUUCAUCAAAGAGAAGAAGGUGAAUAGAUUUGAUGAAAAUGAUGGUUUCACUCAAAAAGAAGAGUGGAUGCUUGAUACAGAAGGUGUAAACCUCUUGGCAGUGAUGUGCCACGAGGAUGUUGACGCUACAAGGACAAGGAGUAACCAUCUGAUCGAAGUGAUUGAGGUUCUUGGGAUCGAGGCUGUCCGCAGGUCUCUCUUGGAUGAGCUGAGGGUGGUGAUAUCUUUUGAUGGGUCCUAUGUGAACUACAGGCAUCUGGCCAUUCUCUGCGAUACCAUGACAUACAGAGGUCACCUGAUGGCUAUUACUAGGCACGGUAUCAAUCGUAAUGACACAGGACCUCUCAUGAGAUGUUCUUUUGAAGAAACAGUGGAUAUCUUGCUUGAUGCUGCUGUGUAUGCGGAGUCUGAUUACCUGAGAGGUGUCACCGAGAACAUUAUGCUUGGCCAGCUCGCUCCUAUUGGUACAGGAGGCUGUGGAUUGUAUCUGAAUGAGGAGAUGCUGAAGCAGGCCAUUGAGCUUCAACUCCCGAGCUAUGUUGAAGGUCUGGACUAUGGCUGUGGCAUGGCAUCAGCGCAUUCAUCCAUCUCCGGGACACCAUACCAUGAUGGAGGAAUGAUGUUGCCAGUGCUGAGUCCAAAUUUCUGGGCUUCCCCCGUUACAGGUGCUCAGUUCUCGCCAUAUGUUGGGGGCAUGGCAUUCUCUCCCGUCCCAUCAAACUACAGCCAAUCCUAUACGUCUGGCCCUCCUUCCUACAGUCCGACCAGUCUAUCAUACUCGCCAACAUCGCCAAUCUAUAGUCCGGUAUCGCCGAUCUGUAGUUCGGCAUCGACAGUUUAUAGUCCAACAUCCCCAGUUUAUAGCCCGACAUCCCUUUCAUAUAGCCCAACAUCGCCAGUUUGUAGUCCAACAUCGCCAGUUUAUAGCCGGACAUCUCUUGCAUACAGCCCCACGUCACCAUCCUAUAGUCCAACAUCGCCACUCUAUAGCCCAACAUCACCAUCAUACAGUCCUACAUUGCCCUCAUCAUACAGCCCUACGUCGCCUGGUUACAGCCCGACGUCACCGAGCUACAGCCCGACAUCACCGAACUACAGCCCUACGUCACCGAACUACAGCCUGACAUCACCGAGCUACAGCCCUACUUCACCGAACUACUGCCCGACGUCACCGAGCUACAGCCCUACUUCACCGAACUACUGCCCGACGUCACCGAGCUACAGCCCUACCUCACCGAACUACUGCCCGAGGUCACCGAGCUACAGCCCUACGUCACCUUCGUACAGUCCUUCACAUGCUUAUUCUCCAAGCAGCCCAAAGAUGAUGAGCCCGUACAGUCAAGCUCCUCCAAACUACAGCCCUGCCUCGCCGACUUACUCGCCCACCUCACCAUCAUAUGCACAACCAAGCCCAUCGUACAGCCCGACAAGCCCGCACACUACCUCUGGAGGACCUAGCCCAGAUUACAGCCCAACUUCCCCCAACUACAGCCCCAGCGCAAGCUACUCCCCAUCACCCACCGGGCCGCAAACUACUGACAUGGAUGACGAGACUGCUACUUGA
RNAcentral lists this ribosomal RNA (3378 nucleotides) under Triticum aestivum (bread wheat). Its description in RNAcentral is "partial small subunit ribosomal RNA". Lineage: Eukaryota; Viridiplantae; Streptophyta; Magnoliopsida; Poales; Poaceae. The record is from RNAcentral.